GGGCAUUCCUCCCGGUGGAGACUCUCACUCAGCAUCAUUUCCCACUUAUUGCACCUGCGCGUGUUAGGACGGCUGAAAUCAGAUAUUAUAACGCCGCCGCUGCACAGGCCCGAGGAGGAUUCUGAGCGGAAUUAGGGCCGUAAUUACGGAGACAAAUCAGAGUUUAUCCCAACUGUGGGAAAAGCGGGGAACCAAUUUCUAGACAUAUUAAAAGAAUGAGUCAGCGCGUUGCAUGCCGAUCUGUGGAGAUGUGGUGGAAUUGUGGUAGUGAUUCGCUGUUAUGGUGAUGUUUUUGUAAUUUUUCCACCUUUUGCAUAUUUAAUGAUUGGUAAUUUGAGUUUCCACACAGGUAGGUCAACAGAAGGAGUGUAGGAGCCCAUAAUGUGAGGACUGGACCCGUUCUCACAACGGGACUUUAGUUUGUUUGUGUCUGCAGAGAUGCUGCAUUUGAUUUCUUUGCUCUCGUUACUUUCCACCAAGGGCGUCACGCUUUCGGGCUUUGUCUUUUUUGUUUGGUUCGCAGGAGAUCACAAAAACUUGCCGAACGCAUUUCGCUGACAUUUCGUAGGACUUGUGUUGCUGAAACACACCUGUCUUUGGAAGGCGCGGCCUUGAGCAAACCUUCGCGUCGAGCGCUUUCGCGUUAUUGCCACCGUUAUUUUCUGAACGUUCGGGACAUUCCUGACUUUUCUGCAGAGAGUAGGGGUGGAAGCAGCAGCAGCAGCAGCAGCAGCAGCAGCAGCAGCAGCGCUCGUCUCCAAAGCCACCGCUCCACAUCAGACAGUUUGUACAAAGCUGCUGUAAAGUCUCUUGGUUGAACUUUUAUGUUUUGAGAUGCGCCUGCACUUCACCAAAUCGAUUCCUCUUCCAAAGUAACAGUCGCACGCCGUCGGCGAUACGCCGCGGGAGCAGCGGGAAGCGCUUCUGCUCCGGGAAGGAUGUCCUUCUGGCUGCGAACGCCGAGACGGAGCGCGGCGUCGGGAGGAAAAACCCCGCGCGGACGACGCGACGACACGGGGCCCGAGAAGCGCCGGCGCCGGUCAGUUUCCCGCCGGGCGCCGGAGAUGCCAUGUUGGACGUGAUUGAGGCAGUCAGCUGUCAAGACAAAAAGCUAAAAGUCAGCUGGCGUCGAUAAAAUAUUCAUGUCCUUAAAAAAUGGCGUCACCAUUUCAGCCACUAAAAUAUUAAAAUGAGCAGCACAGUGAA
RNAcentral lists this long non-coding RNA (1206 nucleotides) under Betta splendens (Siamese fighting fish). RNAcentral describes it as "lncRNA (ENSBSLG00000025885.1)". The record is from RNAcentral. Lineage: Eukaryota; Metazoa; Chordata; Actinopteri; Anabantiformes; Osphronemidae.